Molecule: ribosomal RNA, 253 nt
Filed under: uncultured bacterium
Lineage: Bacteria
Description: partial 16S ribosomal RNA
Rfam family: Bacterial small subunit ribosomal RNA
Source: RNAcentral
UACGUAGGGGGCUAGCGUUGUCCGGAUUUAUUGGGCGUAAAGAGCGUGUAGGCGGCCAGGUAGGUCUGGUGUGAAAACUCGAGGCUUAACCUCGAGAUGUCAUCGGAAACCAUCUGGCUAGAGUCCGGAAGAGGAGAGUGGAAUUCCCGGUGUAGCGGUGAAAUGCGCAGAUAUCGGGAAGAACACCUAUGGCGAAGGCAGCUCUCUGGGACGGUACUGACGCUGAGACGCGAAAGCGUGGGGAGCGAACAGG